This 554-nucleotide ribosomal RNA is filed under the name uncultured bacterium. Its description in RNAcentral is "partial 16S ribosomal RNA". It matches the Rfam family "Bacterial small subunit ribosomal RNA", at positions 355 to 900 of the family's 1533-position model. The record is from RNAcentral.
UAGGGAAUCUUCCACAAUGGACGCAAGUCUGAUGGAGCAACGCCGCGUGAGUGAAGAAGGUUUUCGGACCGUAAAGCUCUGUUGUUGGUGAAGAAGGAUAGAGGUAGUAACUGGCCUUUAUUUGACGGUAAUCAACCAGAAAGUCACGGCUAACUACGUGCCAGCAGCCGCGGUAAUACGUAGGUGGCAAGCGUUGUCCGGAUUUAUUGGGCGUAAAGCGAGCGCAGGCGGAAGAAUAAGUCUGAUGUGAAAGCCCUCGGCUUAACCGAGGAAUUGCAUCGGAAACUGUUUUCUUGAGUGCAGAAGAGGAGAGUAGAACUCCAUGUGUAGCGGUGGAAUGCGUAGAUAUAUGGAAGAAUACCAGUGGCGAAGGCGGCUCUCUGGUCUGCAACUGACGCUGAGGCUCGAAAGCAUGGGUAGCGAACAGGAUUAGAUACCCUGGUAGCCCAUGCCGUAAACGAUGAGUGCUAAGUGUUGGGAGGCUUCCGCCUCUCAGUGCUGCAGCUAACGCAUUAAGCACUCCGCCUGGGGGAGUACGACCGCAAGGUUGAAAC